UCGAGGAUAGUCUACAAUGGUCGAAAGAUUGAUAGUGCGACGCCGCGUGAACGAGGAAGCAUUUCGGUGUGUAAAGUUCUUUUCUAUGGGAGCAGGGUAUCCUUGGUUAACAGCGAGGGGUGCUUGAUAUUACUAUAGGAAUAAGCCACGGCUAACUCCGUGCCAGCAGCCGCGGUAAUACGGGGGUGGCGAGCGUUGUCCGGAAUUACUAGGCGUAAAGGGCAGGUAGGCGGUUGUAUAAGUUAAUCGUUAAAGACCCGUGCUCACCAUGGGGAGGGCGGUUGAUACUGUAUAACUGGAAGCGAGUGGGGGAAGACGGAAUUCCUGGUGUAGCGGUGGAAUGCGCAGAUAUCAGGAGGAACACCGAAGGCGAAGGCAGUCUUCUACGCUUGUCUUGACGCUAAACUGCGAAGGUGCGGGUAUCAAACAGG
This 431-nucleotide ribosomal RNA is filed under the name uncultured Spirochaetota bacterium. RNAcentral's name for it is "bacterial SSU rRNA". It matches the Rfam family "Bacterial small subunit ribosomal RNA", at positions 355 to 776 of the family's 1533-position model. The record is from RNAcentral. Lineage: Bacteria; Pseudomonadati; Spirochaetota.